Oncorhynchus keta (chum salmon) is the source of this 569-nucleotide long non-coding RNA. RefSeq lists it as uncharacterized. The transcript is spliced from 3 exons. NCBI's taxonomy places the organism in Eukaryota, Metazoa, Chordata, Actinopteri, Salmoniformes, Salmonidae. The record is from RefSeq and is a predicted model, not a curated record.
UCAUUGUGGAUUUUAUUCCUUAAUGUACAAUAAUAUACCUGUUUCAUCUGUCAGAUAUACACCAGGGUUGCGAUAUUUUCCGUUUACUUUCCCCAAAAUUCCCAGAAAUCCCGUUUUUUUAGAAUUCCGGGAAUCAAGACGGAAUAAGCAGGAAAUCCGGUCCAACUGUACCGAUGUGCGCUGAGAGUCGGGAAGCAGGUUCAGGGAGUGUUUUAAUAAAUAGAUACACAAACAAGAACAAAGGCCACAGACCGGACACAGAAACAAUGACGCCUGGGGAUAUAAGGCAGGUAAAUCAGUGAUGGAGUCCAGGUGAGUGUCAUAAUGCGCGUAACGAUGGUGACAGGUGUGCAUAACGAUGGUGACAGGUGUGUGUAAUGAUGGUGACAGGUGUGUGUAAUGAUGGUGACAGGUGUGUAUAAUGAUGGUGACAGGUGUGUAUAAUGAUGGUGACAGGUGUGUGUAAUGAUGGUGACAGGUGUGUGUAAUGAUGGUGACAGGUGUGUGUAAUGAUGGUGACAGGUGUGUGUAAUGAUGGUGACAGGUGUGUGUAAUGAUGGUGACAGGUG